Molecule: long non-coding RNA, 1213 nt
Filed under: Lepidothrix coronata (blue-crowned manakin)
Lineage: Eukaryota; Metazoa; Chordata; Aves; Passeriformes; Pipridae
Description: lncRNA (ENSLCOG00000009306.1)
Source: RNAcentral
CUUUUCUUUUGUUAUCCUGAAAGUAGGUCUUAAGUUCUGCAUCAGGUUAAACAUUAAAAGCUCCUCUUCUUGUAACCACUGAAAAAUGAGCUGUCACUGAUUUAGUAAUACCUUUUUUGUCUUUGCUUCUUGUGUUGAAACAGAACAGUCAGGUUUUGGUGUAUAUUUGUCUUUUGCAGGAAGAAUCCCAUUCACUUCCAGCAGUUCAGUCACCCUAAUGAUGACGACUAUCAUGACAUGGAGAUGAUACUCAGGAUAACAAUGACAACCGGCCCGAGUGUCCAUAUGGAACAGCUUGUUAUAGGAAGAACCCACAGCACAAGCUGGAAUACAAGCACACUGCGCCUCCAGGAACUGAAAGAGGAACCCGACAACAAACUUCAAGAAAUGGAAAAAGGGCUGUGGAGAAAGACAGUGCCAGUGAUGGUGAAGCCAAUGAGUAUGACCUCAAUGACAGCUUUAUAGAUGAUGAGGAAGAGGAGUGUGAAGCUACUGAUGAGGACUCGGACUGGGAACCAAGUUCAGAAGAAAAGGACAAUGAGGAUGUUGAAACACUUGUGCAAGAAGCAGGUAGAUUUGUUAAGACCAAAAAAUAGCUGCUUGAAACAACGCUACGAGUUUCCAGUGUGGUUCUGUUAAAACAUGGUUGCACAGAGGAGAGGAAUUUUUUGAAAACUUUUUCUCAGUGAUGUAGAAGCUACAGGAAGAUUUUAGUGGGGCCGAGGGAUUCAGCAAUACCUUUUUGUCCAUAUGUAUUAUUUUGGGGGUGGUGUGGUGCUUUUUUUAUGAAGUGGUGGACCCACAGGAUGGAGCUCUGAAAGUUUUGGUUGUUUUUUUCUUUCUUUUCUUCAUCUAUUUGUUUUACAAUUACUCUGAAAUACAAUUUUAAAGGUUGGUAAAACUUCAUCUCCCUAUGCUUGAAAGAAAUACUGGCAUUAGGAAAGCCUAAACCAUUUUUUAAUGUUCCUUUGAGUUAGUGCAGUUGUAAACUUCAUUAUUCUGCUCCCAACCUUUGUUGGUUCUCUUGAGGUACCGUAAUUAAAUACAGGUUGUCUAAAUCACUCGAGAACAGUAUCUCAAAGUGUAUUGAACCACUUGGUUGACUCAACAACAGUUAUGGUGUAUUUGUUCCAAUUACAGCAGUACCUCUUUCCGUGCCUGUAUAUCCCUGGAAUUGUGUUCAGUUCUCAGCAAAGCUGAAGUCUUGAUGACU